This 499-nucleotide ribosomal RNA is filed under the name uncultured bacterium. RNAcentral's name for it is "partial 16S ribosomal RNA". It matches the Rfam family "Bacterial small subunit ribosomal RNA", at positions 28 to 507 of the family's 1533-position model. The record is from RNAcentral.
GACGAACGCUGGCGGCGUGCCUAAUACAUGCAAGUCGAGCGAAGUUUUUCUGGUGCUUGCACUAGAAAAACUUAGCGGCGAACGGGUGAGUAACACGUAAAGAACCUGCCUCAUAGACUGGGACAACUAUCGGAAACGAUAGCUAAUACCGGAUAACAGUAUUUCUCGCAUGAGAGAUAUUUAAAAGUUGGUUAUGCUAACACUAUGAGAUGGCUUUGCGGUGCAUUAGCUAGUUGGUGGGGUAAAGGCCCACCAAGGCGACGAUGCAUAGCCGACCUGAGAGGGUGAUCGGCCACACUGGGACUGAGACACGGCCCAGACUCCUACGGGAGGCAGCAGUAGGGAAUCUUCCGCAAUGGGCGAAAGCCUGACGGAGCAACGCCGCGUGAGUGAAGAAGGAUUUCGGUUCGUAAAGCUCUGUUGUUAGGGAAGAAUGGAUAUGUAGUAACUAUACAUGUAAGAGACGGUACCUAACCAGAAAGCCACGGCUAACUACGUG